RNAcentral lists this ribosomal RNA (520 nucleotides) under Papilio karna karna. RNAcentral's name for it is "partial 16S ribosomal RNA". The record is from RNAcentral. Lineage: Eukaryota; Metazoa; Arthropoda; Insecta; Lepidoptera; Papilionidae.
AAACAUGUUUUUUUGAAAAUAAUUUGAAGUUUAAUUUGCCCACUGAUNAAAUUAUUAAAGGGCUGCAGUAUUUUGACUGUACAAAGGUAGCAUAAUCAUUAGUCUCUUAAUUGGUGACUUGUAUGAAAGAUUGGAUGAAAUAUAUACUGUCUCUAAUUAAUUUAUAAAAUUUAAUUUUUUAGUAAAAAAGCUAAAAUAAGUUUAAAAGACGAGAAGACCCUAUAGAGUUUAAUGAUUUAUUUGAUUAUUAUUAAUAUAUAAAUUUUAAAAUUAAAAUUAAAUGAAUUAUUUUAUUGGGGUGAUAGAAAAAUUAAAUUAACUUUUUUUUUUUUUUAAACGUGAAUUUAUGAGUAGAUGAUCCAUUAAUAAUGAUUAAAAGAAAAAAUUACCUUAGGGAUAACAGCGUAAUUUUUUUUUUUAGUUCAAAUAGGAAAAAAAGUUUGCGACCUCGAUGUUGGAUUAAGAUAAAAUUUAAAUGCAAAAGUUUAAAAUUUUAAUCUGUUCGAUCAUUAAAAUCUUA